RNAcentral lists this ribosomal RNA (326 nucleotides) under uncultured Enterobacteriaceae bacterium. RNAcentral's name for it is "bacterial SSU rRNA". It matches the Rfam family "Bacterial small subunit ribosomal RNA", at positions 88 to 437 of the family's 1533-position model. Lineage: Bacteria; Pseudomonadati; Pseudomonadota; Gammaproteobacteria; Enterobacterales; Enterobacteriaceae. The record is from RNAcentral.
CUGACGAGUGGCGGACGGGUGAGUAAUGUCUGGGAAACUGCCUGAUGGAGGGGGAUAACUACUGGUAAUACCGCAUAACGUCCAAGACCAAAGAGGGGGACCUUCGGGCCUCUUGCCAUCGGAUGUGCCCAGAUGGGAUUAGCUAGUAGGUGGGGUAACGGCUCACCUAGGCGACAUCCCUACUGGUCUGAGAGGAUGACCAGCCACACUGGAACUGAGACACGGUCCAACUCCUACGGGAGGCAGCAGUGGGGAAUAUUGCACAAUGGGCGCAGCCUGAUGCAGCCAUGCCGUAUGAAGAAGGCCUUCGGUUGUAAAGUACUUUC